UUAUUAGGUCUUUCCACCUUUCUGUGGAAAGACCUAUUGUAUUUCUUCUGAUUAUUAUUAUUUUUUUUUUUUUUUUUUUCUUCCGCCUAAUUUUGAUAUUGCGACAAAUGUUUGUUUCGCAAUAUGUUGCUUAGAUAUUUCUCAUAUUGUAUCGUACAGUUUAUGCGCUUUUACAUUUCACCCUGCUAAGCCGAACACUUUUCUUUGUAAGAGUUAUCUCCCUAUUCACUGUUUAUCAUCAGAGUGCAUCUCCUUCGUAACAAAAAAAGAUAGCGACAAAAUUCUUUUUACAAAUUGUUCGUUACAUCCUAAGGAAAAUUUGGCUUAUUUGGAUCGAAGCGAUUCGAUGAAAUUUUAUAGGAGUUAUCUACCUUUACAAAAUUAUUUUCUCAAUAUGUGUUAUUAACUAAUAAACCGUCAACCAUAUAACCCUGGAAUGUAUUUAUUUGAGAUCCCUAGGCCCUUUAUUAGAAAAUGGGGUCAAGGUCAAAGGUCAAGGUCAAGUUCUAAAUUCGGAAUUUUCCAUGUUUUUGCAUUUUCUCCAACCCUUGAAAAGGUAUAUAUUAAAGAACAAGUGCAAAAUGAUUGCUAUAUAGUUAUGAAGAUAUUUUACAUUUGGUCUGAUACAAUUAAAUAGCAUCUAAUAGGAGUUAGUGCCCCUGAAAUGUCUUGAUAUGAGGUUAUUUGAUUAUAACUUCAACUAAGUGCAUUUUAAUGGCAUUUGACCUUGUGCAAAAGGUUGGAUGACAAAUGACCUUGAAAAAUGACUACCGGAAGUGACCUUGAGAAAACCGGAAGUAACCUUCUUUGCAAUUUUUUCGUAUAAAAGUACUCAAAAUCCAUAUAUUUUGUCAUAUAGAUACAUAAACUGAUUACUGAAGACUAAAAAAUGAUUCCAACAAACCGGAAGUGACCAUGUAUCUCCCAUUCUAAAUACAAAAGUAUAUAGAAACUAUAUAUUUUUGGAAUCAGUGUGAAAGAAG
This 983-nucleotide long non-coding RNA is filed under the name Mytilus galloprovincialis (Mediterranean mussel). Lineage: Eukaryota; Metazoa; Mollusca; Bivalvia; Mytilida; Mytilidae. The record is from RNAcentral.